Long non-coding RNA from Syngnathoides biaculeatus (alligator pipefish), 635 nucleotides. RefSeq lists it as uncharacterized. The record is from RefSeq and is a predicted model, not a curated record. Lineage: Eukaryota; Metazoa; Chordata; Actinopteri; Syngnathiformes; Syngnathidae. The transcript has 4 exons.
GCAAGCAUGUUUAAUUUUAUUAUUUCAUAUCAUUACAUCGGUCAGCUGGGGUUCGUAUCCCAGCUAAAGUCGUGAGGGGUGGAUUUGGUAAGAUUAGCCAAUGGUGUUACAAGUCUCCAAUAACGCCACAAAAUAGAUUAAAUAGAUUCCAUGUUUACAUGCUUUUUAUUAUAUUUUUUUCAGUCACAAGAAGUGAUUGAAAAAGUCACUUCUGGAUCACAGAACAUCAGAGACCUUUGAAUACGCUUCAACGGCGACGUGUAGCCGACUUACAGCAUGCCCUCACAGAUCUGCCUGAUGAACACCACGGCGUCCAACUCCAUCAACGUGUAGUUUUCGUCGAUGAUCCUGUCGAACAGCUCACCGCCUCCGACGCUGGCCAAACCAAACGGGGCGGAAAGCAUCUCAGCAUCAAACAAAUACAUUUGCAUGCGAGCAUGAUGCACGCAAGCUCCACUUUGAACACCCACUCCAGUUACCGGAUAUGACGCCCACGAUGUUCCAGACAGCAAAAGGGACCUCCUGCCAGUUGAUGGUGUAGAAGUUGCUGAUCUGGUUGGGCUUGGCAGACACGAUGCGGUGAUUAAACGGCGCCGGCGGGGGCGGGGUCAUGUCUAAAGAGGGGCGGAGACAUC